RNAcentral lists this unclassified non-coding RNA (414 nucleotides) under fungal sp. RNAcentral describes it as "partial internal transcribed spacer region". The stretch from base 1 to 46 matches the Rfam family "Eukaryotic small subunit ribosomal RNA", at positions 1786 to 1831 of the family's 1831-position model. Lineage: Eukaryota; Fungi. The record is from RNAcentral.
AAGUCGUAACAAGGUUUCCGUAGGUGAACCUGCGGAAGGAUCAUUAACACGUAUCCACGUAUCCACCCUUUAGUGCAUUUGUUUUCACCUCUCCCUUCAUCUCACAUGAAUUGGCUAGUGUUGUAUUCGAUCAGUUGAAUAGGUCGCUUCUGCGUCAUUCGAUACAACAUGACAUUACAAUUGGAGUGAGUAUGGUAGGUUUCUCUUUUCUUUUUCACCUUUCCUUUCGCUAAUCUUCUCUAUUCACGAAGGUUUCCGAUUGGAUCGAAAAAGAAAAUCCAUCAUACACACCUUUCACAACAAUUUUUGCUAGUUGACUUUUUUUCAACGUUGAUUAGUUUACUAAUUGACACGUUUGAAAUAUCUUAUUUCAACUUAUUGAAACAACUCUUAGCAAUGGAUAUCUUGGUUCUC